GGGGGGGGGGCGCUACGCGGCCGACGCGCAUGCGCGUGCGGGACCCGGAUUGCGCCCCCCGGGCGGAGCUGAGGGGAUGGCAGAGGAGGGGGCGGCGGGACGGGACGGAGUGGGAUGGGGGCAUGGAUGGGGGGUCGGGAUGGGGUAUGGGUGGGUAUGGGGUGGUGUGCUGUAGGUUGGGGUAUGGGGUGAGGGUGGGAGGGGGAUGGGAUGGGGAUGAUUCAGGUUUGGGAUGCGUAUGGGAUGGGUAUGGGAUUGAUAUGGGAUGGGUAUGGUGUAGGUAUGAUAUAGGUAUGGAAUGGGUAUGGUAUAGGUUUGGGAUGAGUACGGUAUGGGUAUAGGAGGGGUAUGGGAUGGGUUUGGGAUGGGUAUGGUAUAGAUAUAGCAUGGGUACGGUAUAGGCAUGGUGUGGGUACGGUAUAGACAUGGGGUGGGUAUGGGAUGAGUAUGGGAUGGGAAUGGUAUAGGUUUGGGAUGAAUAUGAUAUAGGCAUGGGAAGGGUAUGGUAUAGGUUUGGGAUGGGUAUUGGUUGGGUGUGGGAUGGGAAUGGGAUGGAUAUGGGAUGGGAAUGGUAUAGGUUUGGGAUUGGUAUGGUAUAGGCAUGGUGUGGGUAUGGGAUCGAUAUGGAAUGGGUAUGGUAUAGGUAUGGGAUGGUUAUGGGAUGGAUAUAUUAUAGUUAUGGGAUGGGUAUAGGAUGCGUAUGGUAUAGGUAUAUAAUGGCUGUGGUAUAGGUAUGGUAUAGGUAAGGGCAUGGCAUGAGUACAGUAUGGGGGGGGCACGGUGUAGGUUGGGGAAUGGAAUAGGUAAUGUAUGGGAUGGGUAUGGUGUAGGUAUGGGAUGGGUAUGGUGUAGGUAUGGGUAUGGGAUGGGUAUGGUGUAGGUAUGGGGAUGGGAUGGGUAUGGUGUAGGUAUGAGGUGGGAUGGGUAUGGUGUAGGUAUGGGAUGGGAUGGGUAUGGGAUGGGUAUGGGAAGGGAUGGGAUGGGAUGGGUAUGGUGUAGAUAUGGGUAUGGGAUGGGUAUGGUGUAGGUAUGAGGUGGGAUGGGUAUGGUGUAGGUAUGGGAUGGGAUGGGUAUGGGAUGGGUAUGGGAAGAGAUGGGAUGGGAUGGAUAUGGUGUAGAUAUGGGUAUGGGAUGGGUAUGGUGUAAGUAUGGGAUGGGAUGGGUAUGGUGUAGAUAUGUGUAUGGGAGGUGCAUGGGAUGGGUAUGGUGUAGGUAUGGGUACGGGGUGGGUAUGAUGUAGGUAUAGGAUGGGAUGGGUAUGGUGUAGGUAUGGGUACGGGGUGGGUAUGAUGUAGGUAUAGGAUGGGAUGGGUAUGGUGUAGGUAUGGGUACGGGGUGGUGUAGGAAUGGUGAGGUGGGGGCAUGGUGAGGGUGGGGGGGUCACAGCACAGGGUGGGCACUGCAAUGGCGCAGGUCCGGGAUUUGAUGCCGAACUGC
This 1437-nucleotide long non-coding RNA is filed under the name Gallus gallus (chicken). RNAcentral describes it as "lncRNA (ENSGALG00010025906.1)". Lineage: Eukaryota; Metazoa; Chordata; Aves; Galliformes; Phasianidae. The record is from RNAcentral.